This 72-nucleotide transfer RNA is filed under the name Camelus bactrianus (Bactrian camel). It matches the Rfam family "tRNA". From Rfam's summary of the family: Transfer RNA (tRNA) molecules are approximately 80 nucleotides in length. Their secondary structure includes four short double-helical elements and three loops (D, anti-codon, and T loops). RNAcentral also lists the same sequence under 2 other names. The record is from Rfam by way of RNAcentral. Lineage: Eukaryota; Metazoa; Chordata; Mammalia; Artiodactyla; Camelidae.
GAGGGGAUAGCUCAGUAGUAGAGUGUGUGCUCAGCAGGCAUGAGGUCCUGGGUUCACUCCCCAGUGCCUCCA